UAGUGUCAGCAGCUGUGGGGGCGGUGCGGUGUUCUGAGCGGAACGCAGCGUUGAAGCCGGGAGCUGAAGCUGAGAGCGGAGCCCGGCACAGUCACAGGUUUGACAUCCUGAUGGGGUAUCCACGCUUCAUCUUCUUAAGCUUGCUCAAACAUUCUUUCAAGGACACUAUGAGCAUCUCCAACUUUUUCUGGUGCCCAACAUUAUUUGUUUUCUUCCUGAUGUCACUGACUACAGCAAUAAACUCAGAGAAGACUGAUCAUCACACUUCCAAUGGUUCUGAAGCAGUACUGGAGUCAUUACCUGUGAUCACCUCUAGGGUAGACCACAUCAUUGUGAAAGAAGGAAAUGGCGUGGUCAUUCACUGCAAUAUCGAGGGUCAUCCUUAUCCUCACUUCCAGUGGUAUCAUUCCAAUAGGCACCUACUAAAGGAGGAGAAUGAAGGAAAAUUGUGGAUUCUUGAUAGUGGGCUUUUAAACAUCACUAGUGUGUCAUUUGAAGACAGAGGAAAGUACACUUGUGUUGCUACAAACUCUCACGGCACUGUAAAUAAUACAGUUACCCUGCGGGUCAUUUUUACCUCUGGGGACAUGGGCAUCUACUAUAUGAUAGUCUGCCUGGUUGCUUUUACUAUUGUGUUGGUGCUGAAUAUAACACGACUGUGCAUGAUGAGCAGCCACCUGAAGAAGACCGAGAAAGCCAUUAAUGAUUUCUUUAGGACGGAGGGGCCAGAAAAAUUGCAAAAAGCUUUUGAGAUUGCAAAAAGAAUACCUAUUAUCACUUCUGCCAAGACACUGGAGCUUGCCAAAGUUACUCAGUUUAAAACAAUGGAAUUUGCCCGAUAUAUUGAGGAACUGGCCAGAAGUGUGCCCUUGCCACCACUUAUUAUUAAUUGCAGGACCAUAAUGGAAGAGAUCAUGGAAGUGGUUCGCUUGGAAGAACAAGGUAAUGCAUUUAUACGACAAGGAGCUGUUGGUCAGGAGGUUUGUGAUGUGGACGAGGUGUUCAUCAUUCCUAAAGCUUUACAACGGGGUGAGUCUCCAACAGCGGAUUCAGAUGCCUCUUCUCUCCAUGAAGCACCUCGGCAAAUUGCCAUUACGGUCUCUGUACAUCCAAUGGCAAAGAAACAGUGUCUAGAUACAGAUUCUCAGGACAGUAUACAUUCAUGCACGAAAGAAGACUCUACAUCAAAAGCAUGUACGGACACUUCUGAACCAAGCGAACCUCCAGCUCAAAACACUACAACAUGCAUUAUAUACGAAAGCCAUGUCUAGAUAGAAAGUCUAUGCAUAUUACUAAUAAGACACACACAGCACCUUAUAGAGAAGAUGUAAAGAAGUAUUGCCACUUAGCCUUAGUAAAAUAAACCACCAUUUCUUGCUCAAAUCAUUUUGUGGCUACAUUUGCUCACUGAGUAGAGCUGUAUCGCACUAAAUUACUGCUGGUAUCACUGGAUUUUCACCCAUACAUUUACAUUAUAGUGCAGAGAUCCCCUAUUUCGGAAAAAAAAAUCCAGUAGAAUCUAAUGUAUCAAGUAUGUCUUUAAUAUUUUGUGGUUCAUUGACAUGUUUAAUUCUUGACAUGCUUUUGUCGGUUGAAAUGUGUCCUGAUACCUUGUGAGUAUUGUUUCAGACUAUGAGAAGCAAAUGCUUGCCUAAUGGUAUCUCCCUUUCUACAAAUAACGGAACUAGCCAUUGAUAUGUGUUCCAGAUGCAUUAGAAAGCCCAUGGGCCUUGUCACUAGACAAUCUCAAUUGCUGCUCUGUCUUCAGGUGUAUGAUCAAUAUAUUGUGUCCUUCAAAACAGAUUAGUGGCUUAAAAGGGUCACAUUAAGUGAUCUAAUUUUUUUCAAAAACAAAGUGAGCUCUUCUCUCUGUCGAAGGGAGCGCUGCUCUGGAUUGAAAUUCAGUAAAAUAAUAAAAAAAAAACUAAACACUCUGAGCUGAGCUCAUGGAAGUGGCAGAAAACACCAAAGACCAGCGAUUACAUAGUUCCUUCCUAAUGUAGUCUGCUGUACUGAGCGUUGGUGAAUAUAUUCCUUGUCACACCCUGGGAAAAGGCAGAGCUGCCCAACUACAGACCUGUUUGCUGUCAGACAGGAUCUGCCAUCUUUAUUUAUAGUCUACAACUUGUUCAUCAGCCAAAAGUAUUAAAUCAGAGAAGUUCUCUAUAAAAAAUGUUCUCUAUAAACCUUUUUAUAAUCCGUAGACACAGUUUUCUCUGCUGUUUUCCAUUAGACAUUAGGACAUUAGCUUUGUAAGGCUAAUCAAAAGUUAUGUUUGCCAGGUUUAACUAAUUUCAGCGAGAUCACGUCACAGUCCAAUAUUGGGUGAAGUUACUUUAAAGACCAUCUGUCUGCAGGAUCUUAUUAAACCAUCCAUAAUGCCUGGUAGGAGUGACUCUGCUGAUUAAAAUUAUAGCCUUCUUCCCCUGAUCCAUUGCUCCAUUUAGGAGAAAUAAGUGUUGUAAAAAAUAUGCAAAUUAGGGUUUAAGUUCGCUCCACUUCUAAGGACACUCACCCCACCACCUGGACACCUGGCUAAGGUCCACCCAUGGUACACUUAAGUCCUUAUAUGCUUUGUUUAAAAAAAUUAUAAUCUUCCCCUAAAUACAGCAACAGAAAAGGUAUGUUUUAAAACAGCAGGGGCAGCCCUACCAGGCCGUAUGGCUGGCUUAAUUGGCAUCUGUCAGCAGAUUUGUUCCUAUGACACUGGCUGACCUGUUACAUGUGACAUCUGUGUUGGUCCCAUGUUCAUAUGUGCCUAUAUUGCUGAGAAAAAUUAUGUUUUACUAUAUGCAAAUGAGCCUCUAGGAGGAAUGGGGGUGUGGCCAUUACUGCUAGAAGCUCUUCUCUCUCUGCACCUGCCACACCCACCCUCUGCACCUUGACUUUAGAAGAAGUCAGGGCCAGGUGUGAUGAUGUUUUCACUGACUGGCCCUGUCAAUCAGAGUGCAGAGGACACAGCAGUUGCAGAGCGAGCAGAGCCUCUAGGUGUAAUGGCAAUACCUCUGUUGCUCCUAGAGGCUCAUUUGCAUAUAUUAAGACAUCAUUUUUCUUAGCAAUGUGGACACAUAUGAACAUGGGACCAACACGUAGAUGUUCAGUCAAGUUGAACAUCUAUGAUAAUGGGACAACUGGACAUAUUAGCAUUUGUUAUGUCACGCAAGUUAUUAUGCAAAGCCUAUUGACAGGUGUGGCACUGUUCCUGGAAGAAAGCAGCCAUGUUUGUGAAAUACUGGACAGCUCAUUUAAAGCAGAAGCUUUGGAAACUAUAUAGCAAAAUAUUUGCAAAUGAAAAGUAAGGGUUUUAGAUUACAAGUCUCCGAAUUGUACUGAAACCAGUAUUCUCACUCCUCCAGUUUUCUUAGACAGAGUGGGAAUAGUCAUGUUGUGUGCCAAGCUAAUCAUUGUCAGUCCAAGAGCAACAAGUGUAUGCCCCAGACACAAGUGCCUCAUGCCUCAGUUAUUACUUCCCCUGUCCACUGGAUAGGUAAGAACUGCUUGCUUAGUGAGAAUUCGAGAGCUGGGAUCCCCUCCAGUAUUCUAGUCCAGUGUCCCUCCAUUUGAAAUGGAUUGGUGGUCAAGAAUGCACACUGCUACUCCAAAGUCUGUGGGAUUGAUAAAGGUUGCCUACACUGAGCUCUCUGUCAGUGCCAUAAACGUUGAAUGGAACAGCAGCACUAAUGCUCAGCCGUUGCUCCAUUCAGAUGGAGAACACAGGAACCCCGUUCUGGUAAUUGGUGGGGGAGCCAGGUGUCAGACUCCCUCUUAUCUAUUAUUUAUUACAUAUCCAGUGCACAGCUGAUAAUUGCUUAUGACCAGGAAUGCUCCUUUCAGUUGGUUGUAUACAAGAUAUAAUUGCCAGAUGAAAGAUCUCUGAACAAUUAAUAUACCUGCUUUACCUAAUAUAGUUCAUGAGAGCAGACUUGUUGUGAGGGUUUGUCAGACCACACAGACCUAGACAUUAGGUAUUUCUUGACAGAUCCUUCUGACAACCUGUUAGUUUUUCAUAAGAAUAGUCUUUGCAUUCACAUAUAAAUAAUUAGCACUCUUAAGAAGAUGACCUUCAUUAUAAGAAGGUCACUGGCUUUAAGGGUUUUCCUGAUUUGUAAGAUAUUGAUGACCUAUCUUCAGGAUAGGUGAUCAAUACCUGAGUGGUGGGGGGAUGACUCUCGGCACUCCUGCCGUACAGCUGUUUGAAGAGCGAUGCAGCCUCUUCCUAAGCCAGUGGCAUCACGUUAAUCUGUCACGUGACAUAGGCACAGCUCAGUCCUAUUCAAGGAAAUUGGCCUGGGCUGGAAUACCAUGCACAGUCAGUUUUCGAAGAAUAGUACUGUGCUUGGUAUGCUGUGAGGAGGACAUAGCUCUCACAGCUGGUCGGUGGUGGUGCUGGGUGUCUGAACCCACCAAACAGAAAUUGACUUAACCUAGACUAGCCUCUUUAAAAAUAAAUUUUUCAUUCUGUAAACCAUGUUCUGUAAGCCAUGGAGAAACUCAACUGAUCGUUUAUAAUGCACACAGGGUGGCCUCAUGUGGCUUGCACGCUUCUCUUAUGUAUACUUGCCAACUUGUAAGGGUUGCUGUCCAGGAGACGUGAGAAUGUGGCUCGCACAGUGUGGCCCUAACAUUUUAUGACCCAUUUACCUGUCCCUUUUUAGAAGACCUCUUUUGUGAUGUAUCGCACACCUUUUCAUGACAUGUCACAUCAUGCAAGCAAGCAUGGGUGUUGGCUUUGGCUGAUGACACAUAGCAUCCCCUUGCCACAUACAGUUAGAACAUAAAAAGGGCUGCAGCCUUCCAUGCACUUCUUUGGGAAAUGUACCAGCUCUUCCAAGAGGUUAGGAGGUUUCCCCUUUUUCCAAGAGCCUUACAGGCGUUCCAUGAGGGUUGGCAAGAAGACCACAGCUGUCAAUGCCCUUCUGCACGCCUCCUCUGCACACCAUCCAAAAACAAUCCAGGCAAUACCCAUAGGGCAAUUUUUACGGACACGCAGGAUCUGCUCCACUGAAGAACAUUUUGAACAGCAGGCAUCUGUACUAUCGCAGCGAUUCUCCGAUCGAGGGUAUCACGCGCAUAUGAUCCAGCAGGGUUACAAAAGAGCCAGAAAUACCACAAGAGAUUCUUUACUGAUUGUCCUGUGUUGGCGUGCCUUGGAUUUGUUGGCGGGUCCAUUGGAGAAGUUACUUUUGAGACGAAAGGUGUACAACAGAUGGAUAUCCUACGACGCAUCUUUGAGAAAUCAUACCUCCAUGUUAUACUCCUUAUGUACACCUUUAGCACAUUCACAAUGCAUAUAUAUUCUUAAUGUGACAUCCGAUAUAAUUAUUUUAGAUGGAUGUGAUGUGCACAGUCCCUUGCUUCUCCUUUUCUUUUUCCCUUCUUGUUUUCUUUCCCUUUCCCUCCUCCCCCCCCCCCCUUUCCCUAUCUAUCCAUUUUGGAUAAAUGCUUACCUAUCUCUUGUGUGUCUUUUGUUUUGAUCCCUCCUUUCCACAAUGAGAGGUGGUUGAGGUGACUCUUUGAUGCUGUGAUGCAGGUUUGACCGUAUUACCAUAUUCAUAGAACAUCAUUAAUUACGGCCAUCUUGAGUGUGUUGAUACUGUGAUGUACAUUUUGACCACAGUAUUAUACACACUACUAUAUCAUGUAACAUCACAAUUCAAGCAAUAUGGUAUACCGGGCUCCGGCAUCAUACUCUAUCGUACUUGUUAGUCUCUUAUAUACACGACCCUUUGAGGUUAUUUCGAGUGGGGCGGGGAUAUCCCGCGUGACACUUUGGGCAUUUCUUUGUUGCCUACAUGGUCAUCCGCGAUAUCCCACCCCCACAUAUGUUGGUGACUCACAUAGGUCACGAUUUUAUAUAUAUGCCAGCACCCGUUUAGGGUGCAGACGAUAUCACAAUUCGGGCCAUUGGGGUGUAAUUCUCCCCUUUGUCUUCGAUCAUUCACUUGGUGAUAAUUUUAUCAUGAUAUUAUUAUAUGAAUAACACAGAUGAUGAAUUAAUUAAUUUUUUAUUCAUGUAUUACUUCUUACUUUCACUAUUUCUAACGUGUGGUUAUAUAUAAUUGAUGCAUUGUACAUGAUGUGGGUGCUGCCACAAGAUCAAUGUAAUUUUACACUACACUGUUUUAGUGUGGUGUUUUUUUCACUUAUCUAUAAAUGUUAUACAUUAAGCUCGCCCUUUGUAUGACUGCAAUGACUUAUGGGCUUAUGCCAUUAUCAUUGCAUUUUACUUAUUACGACGCAAUGUCCUUUUAGAUGUUUUGUAUUGUCAUUUCACUGUCAUACUAUGGUGGUUUGUGGAUCUGGAGUGGAUGGGAGCUGGAUCACGUGCUAUUACCUUCUUUUUGAUUAACAUAGUCGCAUAGGCUAUCCAUCGACCAUAGCUAUUCUUUAGUUAAAGGAUCCGCCUCCCGCUUAUUUGCGGUUCACCUGCGUUCCAACGGGUCGCGGUCCAUACAUGCGCUGUGCGACGUCAUCUGAACGCGCUCCGUGACGUCCACACGCGCCGCGCAUGCGCGGCGGGUGGACGGUGACGCGCUGAAAGAUGGCGCCGCGCAUCAUGAUGUUCCCGCACCCACUACACUGGACCGCAGGUGCACAUAAUCCAGGUACCCUAAUUGGACAGUCACAUAGACUAUAUAUACCCUGCUAAUCUGUUUCUUGACACCUCCUGACGAAGCCGCUCAGGCGAAACGCGCGUCGAGGUUUGCGCUCUAGGGGCUCACAAUCAUGGUCACCAUGUCCUCAGGUACAGUUUUCGCUUAGUAGUAUAUCACAGGGCGUACUCACGUUUUGGUUCCAGCUGGCAUCCACACUAGAUCCACAAUACUAGUUGUGGGGGGGUUUUAUAGUGAUACUUAGUGAUCCUAUUUAUUAUAUUACCCAUACUGAAUCCUUGCAAGUGUAUAUACUAUUAUGUUUUCCUUGCUGAUGUGAGGUUCAUGUAUGAUCGGUAGUCCCCUUGUUAUUGUAAUAUGGGAUGCAGUCUUAUGGUGGGCUGCUUACUCACUCGGUUGCUACUUCCCAUAUGCUAGUACACAGGAUUCCGAUCAUCCAUGUGCCAAUAUUAUCUGCACCUGUGGAUUAUCCAUGCUUAAUUGCAUGAUUGCACAUGAUUCCAUUUUUGUGUACGUCCCUAUGGCUCUCUGAAUACUGUUUUCCAUCCUGUCUUUUCCCGUAAUUAUUAUUUGAGAAUAAAGUGAUAUUUUGAUAUAUAUACCCCUUCCACUUGAAUUUUUUUGCUUAUAGAUUGGAUGAUA
RNA transcript from Bufo gargarizans (Asiatic toad), 7256 nucleotides. It is a transcript of the gene named microfibril associated protein 3 like, with no coding region annotated. Lineage: Eukaryota; Metazoa; Chordata; Amphibia; Anura; Bufonidae. The record is from RefSeq and is a predicted model, not a curated record. The transcript is spliced from 5 exons.